CGGUGUGGGUGAUGGACGCGCCGCCGCAAAGGCCGAAGAUGACUGCGAAAAGGAGGUAAAUAAAUUGGAUAAUAAAUUGAGAAGGAACUGAAUUUGAAUUAUUAUUAAUAUUAUUAUAAUUGGGCGGCGGGAAAAGGAAAGGGUAAACGCCGCUGGAAAUUGAGAUCGGGAGGAGGAAGAGAAUUGAGAGGGCGGAGAAAUGGCGGGGCUGG
RNAcentral lists this long non-coding RNA (212 nucleotides) under Erythranthe guttata (spotted monkey flower). Its description in RNAcentral is "long non-coding RNA (EGUT_LNC000706)". The record is from RNAcentral. Lineage: Eukaryota; Viridiplantae; Streptophyta; Magnoliopsida; Lamiales; Phrymaceae.